This 2920-nucleotide ribosomal RNA is filed under the name Lactiplantibacillus pentosus. RNAcentral describes it as "23S ribosomal RNA". It matches the Rfam family "Bacterial large subunit ribosomal RNA". Lineage: Bacteria; Bacillati; Bacillota; Bacilli; Lactobacillales; Lactobacillaceae. The record is from RNAcentral.
GGUUAAGUUAACAAGGGCGCAUGGUGAAUGCCUUGGCACUAGGAGCCGAUGAAGGACGGGACUAACACCGAUAUGCUUCGGGGAGCUGUACGUAAGCUAUGAUCCGGAGAUUUCCGAAUGGGGCAACCCAGCAGUUUUAAUCAACUGUUACCACUAGAUGAAUUCAUAGUCUAGUUGGAGGUAAACGCUGUGAACUGAAACAUCUCAUUAGCAGCAGGAAUAUAAAGAAAUUUCGAUUCCCUAAGUAGCGGCGAGCGAACGGGGAACAGCCCAAACCAAAGUGCUUGCACUUUGGGGUUGUAGGACUGAACAUUUGAGUUACCAAAGAACUUGAUAGUCGAAGGAUUUGGGAAAAUCCGCCAUAGAUGGUGAUAGCCCAGUAGAUUAAAUCAAAUUCUCUCAGUUCAGGAUCCUGAGUACGGCGGAACACGUGAAAUUCCGUCGGAAUCCGGGAGGACCAUCUCCCAAGGCUAAAUACUACCUAGUGACCGAUAGUGAACCAGUACCGUGAGGGAAAGGUGAAAAGCACCCCGGGAGGGGAGUGAAAUAGUUCCUGAAACCAUGUGCCUACAAUAAGUCAGAGCGCGUUAAUGCGUGAUGGCGUGCCUUUUGUAGAAUGAACCGGCGAGUUAUGAUCCCGUGCAAGGUUAAGACUAAAAAGUCGGAGCCGUAGCGAAAGCGAGUCUGAAAUGGGCGAUUUGAGUACGAGGUUAUAGACCCGAAACCAGGUGACCUAUCCAUGUCCAGGUUGAAGGUGCGGUAAAACGCACUGGAGGACCGAACCCGUGUAAGUUGAAAAUUGCUGGGAUGAGGUGUGGAUAGCGGUGAAAUUCCAAACGAACUUGGAGAUAGCUGGUUCUCUCCGAAAUAGCUUUAGGGCUAGCCUCGGAUUAAGGAUCAUGGAGGUAGAGCACUAUUUGGACUAGGGGCCCGUCUUGGGUUACUGAAUUCAGAUAAACUCCGAAUGCCAUUGAUUCAUGUCCGGGAGUCAGACGAUGAGUGAUAAGAUCCACCGUCGAAAGGGGAACAGCCCAGACCAUCAGUUAAGGUCCCUAAUGUAUGCUAAGUGGAAAAGGAUGUGGAGUUGCAUAGACAACUAGGAUGUUGGCUCAGAAGCAGCCACCAUUUAAAGAGUGCGUAAUAGCUCACUAGUCGAGUGAUCCUGCGCCGAAAAUGUACCGGGGCUAAGCAUACUACCGAAACCAUGGAUGCGACCAUUAGGUCGCGUGAUAGGAGAGCGUUCUAAGGGCGGUGAAGCAAGAUCGUGAGGACUUGUGGAGCGCUUAGAAGUGAGAAUGCCGGUAUGAGUAGCGAAAGAUAGGUGAGAAUCCUAUCCACCGAAUGACUAAGGUUUCCUGGGGAAGGCUCGUCCUCCCAGGGUUAGUCGGGACCUAAGUCGAGGCCGAGAGGCGUAGACGAUGGAUAACAGGUUGAGAUUCCUGUACUAGUUAAGUGCGUUUGAGCAAUGGAGGGACGCAGGAGGCUAAGAUGUGCAUUCUGUUGGAUUAGAAUGUCCAAGCAGUAAGUCUUGUGGAGAGUCAAAUGCUUUUCACUUUAAGGACAAGCUGUGAUGGGGAGCGAAAUUUAGUAGCGAAGCGUCUGAUGUCACACUGCCGAGAAAAGCUUCUAGUGAGUACUUAACUACCCGUACCGCAAACCGACACAGGUAGUUGAGGAGAGAAUCCUAAGGUGAGCGAGUGAACUCUCGUUAAGGAACUCGGCAAAAUGACCCCGUAACUUCGGGAGAAGGGGUGCUGAUCGCAAGAUCAGCCGCAGUGAAUAGGCCCAGGCGACUGUUUAUCAAAAACACAGGUCUCUGCAAAAUCGUAAGAUGACGUAUAGGGGCUGACGCCUGCCCGGUGCUGGAAGGUUAAAAGGAUGGGUUAGCUUCGGCGAAGCUCAGAAUUGAAGCCCCAGUAAACGGCGGCCGUAACUAUAACGGUCCUAAGGUAGCGAAAUUCCUUGUCGGGUAAGUUCCGACCCGCACGAAAGGCGUAACGAUCUGGGCACUGUCUCAACGAGAGACUCGGUGAAAUUAUAUUGUCCGUGAAGAUGCGGACUACCCGCGACAGGACGGAAAGACCCCAUGGAGCUUUACUGUAGCUUGAUAUUGAGUGUUUGUACAGCUUGUACAGGAUAGGUAGGAGCCAUAGAAACCGGAACGCUAGUUUCGGUGGAGGCGUUGGUGGGAUACUACCCUCGCUGUAUGACCACUCUAACCCGCACCACUAAUCGUGGUGGGAGACAGUGUCAGGUGGGCAGUUUGACUGGGGCGGUCGCCUCCUAAAAAGUAACGGAGGCGCCCAAAGGUUCCCUCAGAAUGGUUGGAAAUCAUUCGCAGAGUGUAAAGGCACAAGGGAGCUUGACUGCGAGACAGACAGGUCGAGCAGGGACGAAAGUCGGGCUUAGUGAUCCGGUGGUACCGUAUGGAAGGGCCAUCGCUCAACGGAUAAAAGCUACCCUGGGGAUAACAGGCUUAUCUCCCCCAAGAGUCCACAUCGACGGGGAGGUUUGGCACCUCGAUGUCGGCUCAUCGCAUCCUGGGGCUGUAGUCGGUCCCAAGGGUUGGGCUGUUCGCCCAUUAAAGCGGUACGCGAGCUGGGUUCAGAACGUCGUGAGACAGUUCGGUCCCUAUCCGUCGCGGGCGUAGGAAAUUUGAGAGGACCUGUCCUUAGUACGAGAGGACCGGGAUGGACAUACCUCUGGUGUACCAGUUGUGCCGCCAGGCGCAUCGCUGGGUAGCUACGUAUGGAUGUGAUAAACGCUGAAAGCAUCUAAGUGUGAAACACACCUCGAGAUGAGAUUUCCCAUUCCUUUAUGGAAGUAAGACCCCUGAAAGAUGAUCAGGUAGAUAGGUUAGAAGUGGCAGUGCGGUGACGCAUGAAGCGGACUAAUACUAAUCGGUCGAGGACUUAACCAA